This 221-nucleotide non-coding RNA is filed under the name Alkalithermobacter thermoalcaliphilus. RNAcentral describes it as "Clostridium paradoxum T-box sequence". It matches the Rfam family "T-box leader". Rfam says of the family: Uncharged tRNA acts as the effector for transcription antitermination of genes in the T-box leader family. The record is from RNAcentral. Lineage: Bacteria; Bacillati; Bacillota; Clostridia; Peptostreptococcales; Tepidibacteraceae.
UAUUAUGCGAUGAUAAGGAAGAGUAAGUUAGCCCCAAUAUCCAGAGAGAAAGUGCCUUAGGCUGAAAGCACUUUUAUAUAUGACUAACUGAAAACUACCUUGGAGCAGAAGCUGAGUAUUCUAAUAAAGAAGAAAGGUUUUCGGAUGACUACCUUACAGUCUAAGAGUGGGCAAUAUUUGCCAACUUGGGUGGAACCGCGAAUGAAACUCUCGUCCCAAAU